This 117-nucleotide ribosomal RNA is filed under the name uncultured bacterium. RNAcentral describes it as "partial 16S ribosomal RNA". It matches the Rfam family "Bacterial small subunit ribosomal RNA", at positions 1357 to 1482 of the family's 1533-position model. The record is from RNAcentral.
CUACGGUGAAUACGUUCCCGGACCUUGUACACACCGCCCGUCAAGCCAUGGAAGCCGGGUGUACCUAAAGUCGAUAACCGUAAGGAGUCGCCUAGGGUAAAACUAGUAACUGGGGCU